AAACCAUAAUGAGGGCACUACCUUUGAAGACUCUUAAAUCUAUCCCAUGCUUUAAAUAAUAAUUCUCCAUAUGCCUAAACAAAAUUUGUUAUGCAAUUCCUCAUAU
Zingiber officinale is the source of this 106-nucleotide small nucleolar RNA. The record is from RefSeq and is a predicted model, not a curated record. Lineage: Eukaryota; Viridiplantae; Streptophyta; Magnoliopsida; Zingiberales; Zingiberaceae.